CCUUGGACUCUGACCUCUGGCUGCCCUGCUCCUGGGCAGACUCAUGUUCAGGCCUCUUCAUUUCUAGGAGACCUCCCUUGGGGAACAUGUCCUCUCCCUUCAUUUUGUCUCUUCUCCAGGGUAGAGCAGCCACCAGUGUCUUCCUUCACUUGUGUCAAGGUCAAAUUCCCUCUGGACCAAGCCAGCCCUCUCAAAAGGCUCUCAGGCUCUCAGAGGGACAGAUGUCUUGGAGCUUUCAUCCUGAAGAGCCUGAACAAACAGCCAAUGAUAGGUGUGGAGCUGCUUGGCCUGGACCAGCCAGCCUUGGAUAGAGCAGAUUGUGACAUCCAAGGUGGAUACAUUGCCUAGCCCAUUGUGGAGUAUUCCUGGACGCCUAUCCAUGCCAGAAACACAUAGUGAGUAGCUGUUUGCUGAACUUUAACUGAAUGGGUGAUUUGAGGUGACCUCUGUGGUCUAAGACUCUCUGUCUCUGUCUCUGUCUUUCUCUGUCUCUCUCCUCUCUCGUUUCUCCCGUUCUCUCCCUCUCCUCUCCCUU
RNAcentral lists this long non-coding RNA (535 nucleotides) under Cricetulus griseus (Chinese hamster). RNAcentral describes it as "lncRNA (ENSCGRG00015035572.1)". Lineage: Eukaryota; Metazoa; Chordata; Mammalia; Rodentia; Cricetidae. The record is from RNAcentral.